ACCGGUCCUCGGUAGUGGCCUCCGGAAGCAGCACGACCACCAGCUUCCGUGGGCCUCGAUCGAAGGCCGGG
The submitters of this non-coding RNA (71 nucleotides) gave its source as unclassified sequences. The record is from Rfam.